Larimichthys crocea (large yellow croaker) is the source of this 665-nucleotide long non-coding RNA. RefSeq lists it as uncharacterized. NCBI's taxonomy places the organism in Eukaryota, Metazoa, Chordata, Actinopteri, Sciaenidae. The transcript has 3 exons. The record is from RefSeq and is a predicted model, not a curated record.
AGGAGUCAUAAACGGAGGAACACGAGCUUUACGCACGCACGCACACACAGACAGGCCGACCCCGUCUUUGGACUGAACUUAAUGACCUCAGACCUGCCAGAUGUGUGAGGAGGGCGGGAAGUAUCAGGCCAGCUGCUGCGCGUCACCUGCUCUUCGUUUAUUCGAAUUAUUGUAUAAAAUGAUGACGACACUUAAUGCGCAUUCAGCUGACAUGAAGUGCGUAAAUGGGAAUCCAGCUACAUUCAAAGGAACUCUAGAUGAUAAUGGAGAGCAGGCGGAGCCAGGACGAAGGCGUCCAGAAGGAAACUGUUCCAGAUGGAGCGCAGCCCCGCUGAGGUCAGCAUGCGGCGCCACUCUCCGGAUCCGGCAGACCUGGAGCAGCUCAGCAGCGACACGACGCGCUUCACAAGAACCACGGAGUCGUACAGGGCGAGAAAUAGACAGUUCGAAAAGAAACCAGGCUGAAGAGGCUAAACAUGGACUCCAGGACUGAAGUUUCUACAGGUGCACCUGAGAAUACCCUGUAUCAAUGCCUGUAAGGCAUUACAGAAGGUGUUGAUGGUCCCACAGCACCAGGAUCAGGAGUUACUUCAACCCAAAGGCCAUAACUCAGCUACUGUUUAAUGUUACUACUGCAUAUACAGUAUACAUCUCAUUCAUGACUC